RNAcentral lists this ribosomal RNA (849 nucleotides) under uncultured bacterium. RNAcentral describes it as "bacterial SSU rRNA". It matches the Rfam family "Bacterial small subunit ribosomal RNA", at positions 40 to 873 of the family's 1533-position model. The record is from RNAcentral.
CGUCUCCGUUAAUGAUUUUAAGUGCUUGCACUUGAAAGAUUUAACAUUGAGACGAGUGGCGAACUGGUGAGUAACACGUGGGUAACCUGCCCUUGAAGUAGGGGAUAACACUUGGAAACAGGUGCUAAUACCGUAUAACAACCAAAACCACCUGGUUUUGGUUUAAAAGACGGCUUCGGCUGUCACUUUAGGAUGGACCCGCGGCGUAUUAGCUUGUUGGUAAGGUAACGGCCUACCAAGGCGAUGAUACGUAGCCGACCUGAGAGGGUAAUCGGCCACAUUGGGACUGAGACACGGCCCAAACUCCUACGGGAGGCAGCAGUAGGGAAUCUUCCACAAUGGACGAAAGUCUGAUGGAGCAACGCCGCGUGAGUGAUGAAGGGUUUCGGCUCGUAAAACUCUGUUGUUGGAGAAGAACAGGUGUCAGAGCAACUGUUGACAUCUUGACGGUAUCCAACCAGAAAGCCACGGCUAACUACGUGCCAGCAGCCGCGGUAAUACGUAGGUGGCAAGCGUUGUCCGGAUUUAUUGGGCGUAAAGCGAGCGCAGGCGGUUUUUUAGGUCUGAUGUGAAAGCCUUCGGCUUAACCGGAGAAGUGCAUCGGAAACCGGGAGGCUUGAGUGCAGAAGAGGACAGUGGAACUCCAUGUGUAGCGGUGAAAUGCGUAGAUAUAUGGAAGAACACCAGUGGCGAAGGCGGCUGUCUGGUCUGUAACUGACGCUGAGGCUCGAAAGCAUGGGUAGCGAACAGGAUUAGAUACCCUGGUAGUCCAUGCCGUAAACGAUGAGUGCUAAGUGUUGGAGGGUUUCCGCCCUUCAGUGCUGCAGCUAACGCAUUAAGCACUCCGCC